This 253-nucleotide ribosomal RNA is filed under the name uncultured bacterium. Its description in RNAcentral is "partial 16S ribosomal RNA". It matches the Rfam family "Bacterial small subunit ribosomal RNA", at positions 524 to 776 of the family's 1533-position model. The record is from RNAcentral.
UACGUAGGGUGCAAGCGUUGUCCGGAAUUAUUGGGCGUAAAGAGCUCGUAGGCGGUCUGUCGCGUCGGCUGUGAAGACCCGGAGCUCAACUCCGGGCCUGCAGUCGAUACGGGCAAACUGGAGUGUUGCAGGGGAGACUGGAAUUCCUGGUGUAGCGGUGAAAUGCGCAGAUAUCAGGAGGAACACCGGUGGCGAAGGCGGGUCUCUGGGCAACAACUGACGCUGAGACGCGAAAGCGUGGGGAGCAAACAGG